Glycine soja is the source of this 2824-nucleotide long non-coding RNA. RefSeq lists it as uncharacterized. Lineage: Eukaryota; Viridiplantae; Streptophyta; Magnoliopsida; Fabales; Fabaceae. The record is from RefSeq and is a predicted model, not a curated record. The transcript is spliced from 3 exons.
ACUCAAAAUCUUAAAGAUAUUAGGUGUAUGAGUCCUUGCGGCUAAUGUAUUACUCAACAUGUCCAUUUCUACUCAUACUUGCACUCCAAUACUAUGUUUCUUUCAAACUCAUGAAUCGUCACUGUUAGACCAGUCAGCUGAAUCCUCUUAUGAUCAAGAGCUGUAAUGCAUAUCAGUUUUGUUAUCAGUUUGAACCGUAUUUUCUUUGAAUUACCGUAACAGCCCUUCAUCAUAGGAGGAAUCAACUGGCUGGUCUAACAAUCACUCUAUGCAGUUUUAUGUUAAGAUUAGAUUUAUUCGUCCAAAAAUGAAAUCUGUUUGUUCCUUCCUCAAAAAACCUUAUUUUCCAUCCUUUUUUUAUGUUCUGGUGAUGUUUUCUUCCACAAAUAAGAGCAAAUUCUUAAUGAAAUUAAUGUUGCAGACUUGCAGUUAUAGUUACUUUUUUUAAAAAAAGCAUUCAUUUAUGGGAAUUUUGAUCUUUAGCAGUUGGAUCUAUGUUAGCUAAUUUUCCUUGACAAAUUUAUUGCUUGGUGAUCUUAUUUUUGCUGUUCCACCUAUGUGCAGUAUUACAAUUUUUUUCUUUCUAUUCAUUUAUAGCUGAUUUCAGGGAUUCAGUCAGUACCUUGGAGAAGGAGUUAUGCUGUCUUAAAGUGAAGCGGGAUGAGAUCGUUAGUAAAAUGGAUGAAAACCGGGAAAAUUUCACAACAGUAUGUCUAGAAUUUCAGAGAGAAAAAUAAUGUUUUGAAAAGUUCAGUGUUGGCAUUUGUGGAGGAGAUUCUUGAAGAUCUUCAUAGUUCGAACUCAGGAAGUAUUUUUUUUUAACCUCAGUCCUAUGAAUUUUCUAUGUUACUAUUAGUAUCAGACUUGAAUAGGGAAAAGGAUUUUAAAUUUUUCUUGUGAUCUGUGUAUCUCUAGUGGUAUGAGGCUUUUGUUGUUGUUGUUGCAUCUGUAUUUAUGUGAAUAGCUUGCGCUGUUUGGGAACAUUUCAUAGUCCUGUACUUUUAGGAAUUUAUUUUCUUCCACUAAACCAAACCAAGGACGACAUAUGUACGGAAGUUAAUACAUCUGCACACAUUUUGGUAUAUAAAAUAAAUUCUUAAAGUUAAUGAUUAACUAUUAGAUGUUAAUUAUUGGACAGUGAUGUUUUGCAACCUUUCCAAUCCCCUUCCCCAUGCCCCCUAUUGCAGCAUUAGAAGUUCAGAUACAGAGGAGGAACUGGGAGAAUGAACUGCUUUCAGCAAUUGGGACCAGCGAUGAUGUUCUAUAAGUUCCUUUACAAUUAACUGGAGUUUCAAGUCAAUUUAGUCAAGUUUGGUCAUUAGGGAUAUUUUACUUAGGUUUAGACAUGGAUAGAUAAAUAUGGAAAUUUGGAAAUGGAGCAGAGUAGAUGAUUAAAAAACUAAACAGCCAGCUUGUUGUUUUUUGUUCUGGCAAGUGAUAAGAACAAAACAAUAAUUUUGGUUUAUUACUAACUUGCAUCAUGAUAUGAUUGAUAUCUCAUAUUCUCCCAUAUGACUUCAUUGAAUUUAACUAGAUACAGAAUAUAUAUGAAGAAUAGCGACUAGCAAGUAAAAGGCCACUGAGCACAUUAGGAAAACUAAGUUAUGGUCGCAAAGUCCCAGGCGCCAGAUAGAGGCAGCAACUGCAUCAAGAGUUCAAGAGCAUGAAGCACGUGAUGUUGCUCCAAUGAAGUUGGCAGGUGUAAAGAACUGCAACUGGGUCCGUGAAAGAUAGUUUUCUUGUUGAAUUAUCUCCCUCGUGGAGUAUGAUCUUUACAGGCAAGAAACUCUUUGCGGUGAUGCAGCUUUUCACGUUUGGAUACAGUUGGCGCCUUAGGAUUAUGCUGCCUCACUGAUGAGGGCUUUGGCCACUAGCCACUAGCCAGAGAGGUGAUUGGUCAAACUGCAGACUUCACAAGCUUAUAGAUUUUGAAUUGGGAGUGUUUGACAUCGUUCGUACCUGAAAAGAGACUUCCUCAUAUCAUUUUCUAGCUCUCAGAAGGACAAAUGUGCUCAUUUGAGUUGCUCUUUUUGGGUAGGGGUCCGGCUCGUAGCCUUCACAAACUUGCUUAUUGACAUUACGCAAUAGUAUGUGAAAGUUCUGUCACCAUCCACUUUAGUUUGGGGCCCAUAAUUUCGUGCAUUGGUUCUGCUUGAGUAUAACAGUAAGAAACAAACUGGGGCUUUCGGGUUAUUAUUUCUGAAUAGGGUUAUUCAUAAAUGAUAAACUCAUUCAUCAAAUCAUGAAAUGGCCAACCUUUGAUGCAAAUGACGAGGUUUUACCAUUUCAACUGGUUUACCAUACUUACAUGUCUGCUCUUUUUUUAAUAUAUACUUCCGACUGAAUUUCCUCGGGCUGUAACUUUGAAAUAAGUUUUACUGUGUUGAGUAGUUACAAUGUCCUUUUCUAAUCUUACAACUACAAACAGUAAAAGUAAAAUGCAUUCAUUUAAAAUAUAGGCAGCUAGGACUUAGUUAUAUGCAGAACGAGGCCUAGAUCCAUCUAAAGGUUCUUGAAUUGUCAAUUUUGAUUUUGUCCUUUCAGCAUCAAAUGAGUGAGUGUCAGGUAGCGCUGCAAUUAUUUUAACUGCCAGGUGAAUUUGAUGUGGAAGGUUUGGAGGAUCUGCAUUACUUCAAUCUGCACAAUAAUUAAGAUUGCACGACUCUUUGCAUGUAGAAAACAAUUCGUUGGCAUAAUUGAUGCAGUUAGUAUUAUAUGUAACAAACUAAUAAUUUAAAACUAUAGGUCAGUGUGAUCAUUGAACUAAAAAAUAAAAACUAAUAACUCAUAAGAAUGGUAAUUAUUGUAUUGAAAUAAAAUAUGU